Non-coding RNA from Ictidomys tridecemlineatus (thirteen-lined ground squirrel), 70 nucleotides. The record is from Rfam. Lineage: Eukaryota; Metazoa; Chordata; Mammalia; Rodentia; Sciuridae.
GGGAAUGUAGCUCAGUGGCAAGGCACUUGCCUAGUAUGCAAGAGACCCUGGGUUCAAAUCCCCAGCAUCA